Molecule: long non-coding RNA, 12704 nt
Filed under: Xyrichtys novacula (pearly razorfish)
Lineage: Eukaryota; Metazoa; Chordata; Actinopteri; Labriformes; Labridae
Source: RNAcentral
CUCUGAAGAAUGCAGCAGCAGGAGGAGGAAAAAGAGAGGAGAGACAUGAAAAGAUGAGAUCUUUUAGGAUUUUUUUUUUUGCGUGUGACUUGCUCUCCCAGCCGUGGACAGUGACGUGGGUGAGAAGUUGUUACCCAAUCGCGUCUCUCCCCUUUUCUCUCUCCCUUUUUUUCACUCAAGCAAAGUUAAAGAGAGAGGGGAAGCCGAAGGGAAAGGACACCCAGCAAAGUCAGACCGGUGAGCGUGAGGAGGGGGGGAUCCCUCAUUCCUGAGCCGGGAGGAAACUCACCCAGACGGGUAAGUAAAGAGGAAAAAAAGGGAGAGAGUGUGUGAUAGAGGGGGGCAAUGCUCCCAGAGAGUUGAUGGAUAUCAUAUGUUAGAUGUUAAAGCUUAGGAAACUGCUCCCAGAUCAGUUUGGGAGCAGGAAACGCAGUCAGCUGAGCGUGUUUGUGAAAGUUUGAGCGUCAGGAUGAUCUUUACUCCAUGAGCCGGUGGGUGUCACGCUGUGGGAGUUUGGGGUAGCGUUACCUCACAGAAGAGCUGAUUCACUGUUACAUAGCCGGCUUGUGUGUGUGUGUGUGUGUGUGGAUCACACACUCUUUGAGGGGCUUAUUACAGUUCAAGGAUUAACUGAGAGGAACAAUGUAUGCUAUCUGUGCGUAAAAAUAGGUCUAAUCUGCAGUUUUUUUCUUCACUUCCUCCCUGUCACGCUGUUUUCUCCCCCCCCCCCUCUCGUGCUCUGACACAGAUAGCACAGUCCACUCUUGCAGCUCAGCAGCAGAGGGCAUGAAUGAACGGGGUGGAGGGUGAGGGAGGUGAUGAGGAAGGAGGAAGGAGAGGGGGGUGGAUGCAUGUAGUAUCAUACAGCACGGACAGCGCAGUGUGGCUUCUUUAUGAAUGGACGUGGCAGCCGCGUGAUGUGAUUGGCUGAGAGCAGAGUGACGAGUCAUGACUGCAAGAGCCCGAGUGUGUGGAUUCAUUUUAAAGAGAGCGUGUGUGUGUGUGUUUCAGGGGGGAAAAUGUGUGUGUUAGUGGGACACAGAGAGAGUGUUUUUGUGUGAUUCAGUCCUGGUGGUUCUGGGUUACAUGUGUUUGUCUAAAGGGGGCUUAGUCACUGGCUCAACAGUGGGGUGUGUGUCUUAAAAUCUGGACUUUUAAAAGCGGUGGCGGUCUGCCCGGCUGUUGUUCCUCUUCAGAUGAGCUCCCACUCGCUCCCACUCGCUCUGACUAAGACCACGCUCGCUCCAGCUCUCAUUACUCUUACUCACUUGUCAUGUAAUCAGAGGGCAGGUCUCCAGACUUCAUGCAGUAAUAUCACUGCUGAAUCACUCGCUGAACUCGUGAAACUGUAAUGUCUUCUGCGUGACAUUUACUUUUUUGGAUUUCCGUUCAAUAAUUUAAGGGAAAAGUGGACACCAAAAUUAUCUGUAAUCACCUCUAACUCUCAAAGAGAUCCAGGGACUGAGUGUGUCAAAGUACAAGUGUGUAUAUCACCAGUAAUAGUCACUUAUUACAAAUAAUAAAACACAUGCGAAACUUUUUUAUGCAAUAAUAAAGUAAAACAGAAAUUAAUUUUUGUUACUAAAUCAUGAAAAACAAGUGAUUCAUCCAUUCAGAAAUGAUGCCAAGUGCUUCUCUGGUGAGAUCUGAUGUUUGAAGAAUGAAUGAAAAUUAAGUUAUUUUUCUCUCAUUUCUCAUUUCUCUGAACUGAUUAGUCACUGCAUGACUUUUUAAUUUUUGCAUGUCGCAUUAUUUACUUUGCACAUGUAAACACCUGAGUUAGAGAAUGACAGUUUGCAACUUUUAUAGCAGCUUAUUUGAUGGUUCAAGUCAUGAAACUGAAUUAAAAAAAAACAUUAAAAGUUCAUAGAAGAAUGAGUUUUCCACCUCUCUCUUUUCUUUAUCUUCCAUACUUACUGAGGGUAUUUUAAGUGUUUUUAGUUGGGUUGUAUUUAAGAGAGGUUCAUUUAGGACAAGUUGCUGCAUUACUUUUUAUUUUUGAACAAGUUGAAUUAUUUGAAAUACUUUAAAGUCAAUAAUUGUGUACAUGUAAACACCUGUGUUGCAGAAUGACAGUUUGCAACUUAAAGCAACUUUUAUAGGAGCUUAUUUGAUGGUUCAAGUCAUGAAACUGAAUUUAAAAAACAAAAGUUCAUAUGAGAAUGAGUUUUCCACCUCUCUCUUUUCUUUGUCUUUAUUUACUUUUACUGUACUUACUGAGGGUAUUUUAAGGUUGUAUUUAAAAGAGGUUGUUCAGUUAGGACAAGUUGCUGCAUGACUUUUUAUUUUUGCACAAGUUGAAUUAUUUUGAAUACUUUAAAGUCAAUAAUUGUGUACAUGUAAACACCUGCAUUGCAGAAUAAGAAUUUGUGAGUUGAAUGGAACUUUUAAAGUGGAUUUUAGUAAUGUUAAAAAUUAUCAAACAGGGUAGAGUUAUUGAAAAAAAAUUAACUGAGAGUGAUAAGAUAUCUUGGCAGUCUUUUAUUGCACUUAAAGUAUUUUAACUGAUUUCAGUGGUGUUGUGAUUAAGGGAUGUUGUUAUUUAUCUAAUGUCUACUCACAUGUUGAUGCAGGACUUUUUAUUUAGAGUCAACAAUUUUGCACGUUAACAGAUAAGCAGAAAAAUGACGGUUUUCAGGUUGAAUCUUUUUUUGUAAAAGUUAAAAUUGUUGUACAGAAUGAAACACAUUUAAAGAUUUAUACAAGACUGAUCAUGUUUUAGCCGAAACAUUUUUGCCUUUACUUGGUGGGAUAGCUUCAGAGGGAAAUAAGACGCCCAGGUGGUACUUUUUAACUUUCCUUUAAGUAUUUUAAAGAUUUUAGUAGGACUGUUUUUGAGAAAGGUUGUUUUAAGUGUUUAAACGGUUUUAUUUUAAAACAACCAAAUUGAGAAACAAAUUGCCUCUUUUUUUUCAAAUUGCUGAUUCUACUACCAAGUUAAAAUCAUAAAUUAUGAACCAUAAUUACUCAGAAGUGUAGUGUGCAGUGGCAAUAUGAAAUAAAAGUCCAUCUGUCUGUUUGAAUAAGUGUUUUUGUUUUGUAAAAUUUGAAUUAUCCUUUUGCACCCUCACGCUUCUGCAGCUGCACAGAAUGGACAUAUAGUGACAUUCAUGUUUUUAUAUUGAGUGAAUUACAGUGUGAAUUGCACUGGUUGGGAGAUGAAGAAAAAGGUUGUUGUUGUGCACAAAAUAACUCGCACUGAUCAACAUUUUUGAUCAUAAAAAUUUGUCUUCAAAGGCCACUGUAGCUUCACUGAUGAAAGUGGUGAGCAAGGGAGCAUCUCACUCUCGAAGAUCACUAAAUAUUCACGUCUGUUCACUGUUUUUUAAGAGUCAUGGUAAUUUUGCAGAGUUACUGAGGUAUUUCAGUAUUUCAUUCACUUUUGUCAAAUUCUUUUUAUCAAGCUUGAACAUAUAAAAGGACUUCUUUGCGUAUUUUUCUUUGUAUAAUUCAAGUUUCAAGUCAGCUGAAGCACAGGGGUUCUGUUGCUCUCAUUAUUUCUUCUGUUUAGCACCAAAACCUCAAGAAUAAUUCCGCUUUUCUGUAAACAACUUUGCAGCAAACCUCAGUCUGUUCUGACAUCGUUACACAUGGUGGUUUGAGGGUCACGAUAAUCGUAUGGUUCCUAAAGAAGUGCAGUACUGUUUGACUCUUUUAGCAGCUCUUCCUUCACAUUUUUACAGAAAUACUGUAAAUUUUAUUGUUUCUUUUCCUGUCAAUUUUCCUGCUCACUUGCAACUACAUUUAUGUUUCUUCUUGUGUCACUAUUCUGCAUUAAAACACUGGAAAUGUUCAUGUUGUGUGAACCAGCUUCACAACAAGACUCAAACCACAGGACUCAAGACUCUUAAGAAUAUUGUAUUCUUACUAUGAUAUUGUAUUUAUGUAUAUUUAAGGCAGUCUUUAUAUCUCAUAAUUGAUCAAAGUGAAGAUUACAGUUUAAGUUUAUCUAUUUGUAUUUUAUGUCCCAAAACUAGUGAUGAUGUUAGUUCAGGCAGGCCAGGAAAACUAGUUAACCCACCUUAAACCUGGCGCUUAGCUGCUACUCUCUAUCUCAAGCUUUGGCAUUUCCUGUAUGCAUGUAGGCAGCUGUACAUGGGGGUCUUUGCUGCUGCUCUCUCUGCCUCAGGUUUUGGUUCUUCAGACCUCCAUGCUUAACACGCAUGCACAGCUGGAUCUGUUUCCUUGUUUUACUGCCACUGAAUGACAGCCGCUCCUUUAACUCCACCAAAGUUUACUGCAGUUUCACGUGGAACACUUUCUUCUUCACUGCUAGAAACUCCAGCAUAAUGGUAGUUUAUGGCUCUAGUGUGUGUCUAAAUGUGUUAGUGUGUGUCUGUGUGAGUGAGGAGUUGUGAUAAGGUGCGUAACUGUCACAUCAUAGCGCAGAGGAUCUAUCAGCUCUUAUCGGGCGGCGUUUCCGGCUGAGUUUGAGAUAGGAGGACGGAUUGGCGGUGAGAUGCAUCGCAGGUAUCUUGAUGAGGGUGGAGAUUAAAUUCCCAGGUGGAGAUUAGCUGGAAUCUGCCCCCUUGCCUUAUCAACCUGCCGACACAGAAUGAACUCUGACCCCGCAGCCUGCUUGGCAGGAAGUAGAGUUGACCUCGAUCCAGGUUCCAAUUACACUUCCGGGACAAAAAUCAUGCGUUUGUGAAACACGUGAACCAUUCCUUUAAAAUCUAAUCAUAACUAUGAGAAAGUUUACACAGGUGACAUGAGUUUAUGAAACACUUAUUUGAAAGAGUGCUUCAUUCCCUUUUUGAAGGAUCACAUUUUAUUGAAUAAGGACACAAUAACUGGAUUUUUAUGUACUUUUAAAAAUGGAGCAUUAGAAUGAAGUCGAAAACUUAUCGAGAAAAUCCAACAUCGAGCAUGAUUUCGUGAUUAUUUCCUAACUACAUUUACCCAAAAACCUACUUAAUUUUAAAUUUUUGCAAUGACUGAUGCUUUGUUUUAUUUCAUUUAAUUAAUUUUUUAAAUGCUUAUUUGUUCCUGUAGUUUAGGAACUUUUUCAGCUUACUCCCUGCGAUAGAGAACUUUUUCUAGCCUCUCAUAACUUUUCUUUCAGACUUAUCAUCGAAGUAUUUUUUAACACAAGGCAUUCUACAGAGUCUGUAUAAAGAUCGGUGGAUGAACAGAUGAUUCAGUGAGGUGGGACAGAUUACAGGGACACAAGUCACCACACUGACUGAACCUCAUUCUCUGCUCUGAAUGAAGCACACACACAGAAACACACACACUCACACACACUUGGGCUGCAGUAAGUCAGGCGUUGGGUAAAGUUUCUUAAAGUGGGUUAAGCGGCACAAGAAGGAUCUUAACCAUCACUUGACUCAUUCCUUCUUUUCUUUGCCCGACUUUCCUUUUCACAUGACUCGUCUUUGUUUAUCCAGCAACAAGUCACUCUCACAAGUCCGUCAUUCAGCGGCAGAUUGUGCAGUUAAGAGCUUAGCCGCAUAACUCAGAUGUCACAGGGCUGAAAGCAGUUUGGUUCAGCCCGUUAAUGUGUGUGCGUCCUCUGUGUGUGCGUGUGUCUGUGUACUCAGGAACACUCGUUCCAACGGUGUGCUAACCACACACACCUGGCCUGUUUCCUCCCAUGCUCAUAUAUGGGCAAAGCUUCCCCUACCUGGGCCCCACUCUGGAUUCCAAUAAGUGGCAGUAUGUGUGUGUGUGAGCGUGCGUGAAAGAGGCUGUGGAGACGGAUGCACGUCAUGGAAAACCAGGAUCAAUGGGCACGGCCGCAGAGCUGCGUUUUUAAGGUGUUCCUUUUGUUUUCCAAAGGUAAUCAGUGAACACAAUGACUCAGCCGGGCCGAGGCGGGCUGACUAUUCAGAGUGUCCGCAGCAAGACGACGUCAGAGAGAUGCAGCCGUCAUAUAACUAUUAUAGGAGAUAAUCCAAAUAUGAAGCAGGUACAAGAAACUCCCUAUAGAUCAGAUUUUAGAUCAAGAAUCCAGACAUGUCUUUGGUCAAUCAGCAGGAGCACUGAGCCAAAAGAGAUAUAGUCAACUGCUUUUGACUUUAUUUGAAAUAUUUUCUUUACCCUUCAUCCAAAGAGACUCUCUAGAGACUCCAAAAUACAUAAACUCAAAUUGUGCUGCUUGUAUUAAAGUUAAUCCAGCGAUGAAGCAGGUAGGAGAAACUUUAUUGUUAGAUAUUAGAUCAGGAAUCCAGCACUUAAUAGAAGUAAGACACACCAACAAAUAUUGAAACUUCAUUUUAAGAUUAUUUUCUGUUCUUGUUUUCUCAAGGUGAUUUUUAAAAGACCUACAAAGAUUUCUAGGGCACAGAAAGUCAGACUACAGACCUCUUUUUCAAUGUAAUCCAGCAUCAAAGCAAGCGAAACAAAAUCCCUGUGAGUCAUGUUUGAUAUUUAAAAUUCCACUCUUAAUUUCAGCUAAGCUGAGGCAUGAACUUUAAGGAAUAUUUCAACACUGAAUAUCACAAAUCCUUUGAAUUUUAACCUCAGUGACCCCCUUUAUCCCUAGAGACUUUUAAAGCAAAGUGCUUUUUGAUUGAGUCUUAAUUUUUCUUGCCUCAAAGGAAAAAUUUUUAAAACUUUACUGAAAAACUGAAUUCACGUUUUAAGAUUUUGAUGCACAAAUUCUUUCUGGAGGAUAUGUAAGAACAAGUGAAAAAAAGGUUUUAAAACACAAACACUGUGGAAAUGUAGGUGUUAUUUAAAGACACUAAAACCAAGAUCAGGUGCAUUAUAUGAAAAACGACUUUAACUUUCAAACAUUGAAAAAUACUAAUCUUUUUGUGAGUUGUUUCCUAAAAGUCUGGAUUUUCCCUACCUUAAACUUUUCAAGGCAUAUCUACGGUGGCCCUUGAGGUCAAGUGCACAACCAUUUCAUGACCACAAAAAGCAUUUCAUAGAGUUUUGAAAAACAUUCUUCACAUUUUGUGAAUUAGUUUUGCAUUUUGUUAAAUAUAUUGUCGUGUUUUGUGAAAUGUUUUCUGGUUAGUAACUUUUUGAAUUACCAUUUUUUUGUGUUUUGUAAAGCGCUUUUACUUUCUGUAAAAUAUUUUUGUUUUGUAAAUUGUUCAUGGAUUUCAUGACACAUUUUUUUGUGCUCAUGAAAUGUUUGUGAAUGUUUAACGCUUUUAAAAAGAUUUUUUAAGACCUAGUGCGCAGUUAUGUAUAUAUAUUUUAGCUAGAACUAAAACUGCAGUUAAUUAAUACCAAAAAUUAAAAAAAAUUCAACAGUCAAGCCAAUACUCAGUCAUUUUGACAGUUAAAACUUUAAAAACUAUUUUAAAGCUGUUUGAGUCUUUUUUUUUAAAACAAAAAACUCUAAAGUACAAGUUUUCAUAAAUGCCAUGAAUGUUCAGUUUUAUCUUAAAAUACAGAGAAGUUUGGCAAGUUAAUGAGUGCACAGUUUUUUGUUAAUAUGUAACUGUAUAUGUAUGCAAAUUCUUCCACAUACACUUAAUCAUUAAAAAUCUAAAGCUUAUAUAUUUCUUUGGGAUUCUCCUUUUAAAAGCUUUAAAAUCAAACUUAUUUAUCUCUAAUUUCAGGAUGGAUUAGAUUACGAUCGAUAAAAUCCUCCGAGAAAAGUUCACUUAAUAUAACUUAAAUAAUGGCAUCCGCUCAUGUCUGUUAUACCGGAGGGAUUACUUCAUCAAAAUUCAACUUCUUGAAUAUAAUUACAGAUUCUGAGAUGAUAAAAUUAACCGGCACCAAUACUUCCUCAAUUUAACUUCUGGUAUUUUAACAUCUCUUAACUCUGCAUUGGUUUUUGUCGUAAAAAUCUGUAUAAUUGAGCUAAUGCUGUGUGAAUUAUGUAAGUCUAUAAAUGAUCAUAGAUUUUUCAAGAACACUUUUUUGGGACUCUUAUCAAACCAGUGGAUCCAAAACUAUAAGAAGAAAUAUAGAAACAUGGUCAUGAUAUUCUUUAAGAGCCUGGAGACACUUCUUGUCUCCUAAAUCUGUUUGGCCUAAAGCUUGUACGAGUUACGCUCGAUCUUUAAAAGGUUUAUUUAAGAUUAUACCAUUUCUGCAAAUUUUGCAGUGCAUGCAUCCUAAAGUGAAAGGUCACAAAGAGACGAAGGACGAUACUGCGUGUAAGAGGGAAGCUUUUACUUUCUGUUGCAUGGAGAACGAAGGGUUUCUGCAUCUUUGGGUUUCAUUUAAGAUAGAUUUAUUCAGGAUCAGACCCUGUGAGAGGCUGUCUCCAGAAGGAUAAACCCUGUGACCCCACAAAGGUCAAAAGGUGAGGGAGACUCCUUCUUUCCCUCCUCUUUCUGUACUCCUCUGUUUCUCCCUCCUCUGCCGCCUCCUUUCUUCGCUUGCUGCACGUUUGCCAGGCCUUCAUAAAGCAGCUCGAGGAGGGAGUUAGCUUUCCUCGCUCGUGUUGCCAACUCUUUCCCAUCAGUCCAGCCCCCUGGAAGACUCUGCAGACUCCCCACUCUCCCUCUCUCCCUCUCUCUCCCCCGGCCUAAAGCCGAGCCUGGGGCUGGGGGACGGGGUACAGGCCGUUGUGUUCGAGGUGGGGGCUCCCUCUGGAGAAGCUCUUUGCAGGCCUGGAUUUAGUCUGCACCUCCACGACAGCCACCAAGCAACACCCAGAGGAAGCGUUUGAGAUCGGCUUACAUAUGAAGCCUGGUUCAUCUCCUGAGUUUUAAAAUGAGGAUAGAAAGAAAGUGGGAGAUGGUGGAAAAGGAGGGGGAGACACAGAAGGGGAAAGACUUUGGAGAGCGAUGAGAGGUGGCGGGGAAGACGGAGACUCCAUAACCUUGGUGUCUCUGCAGAAUCAGACACAUUGGCUUCGUCUCUUUGGUUGGACACUUUCACUCAACCGUAACGACCGAUCAGACGAACAGACCGGGCUUUAAUGGAAGCUGAAGAGCUGAGAACUGAUAUCUGAUUGGCUGUCGGCCUCGUGGAACAACUGCUUAAUUGGUGGCGAAACUGGUGGCGAGCGCUGCAUCAAGACAAGACCCUGUCUGCAAGAUGACUAACAGAUGAGAGAUCGAAAUGAUUGGUGCAGGAUUCAUGAACAAAAAUAAGGGAAGCGAUUUCUAAUGUUGGAACUUUUCAUCAGUAUCGAGGAGGGCAGGGUCCUCUGUGCAAAAGGAACAAGGACCAAAACCAACGCUGGAUGGAUCUUACGGUCAGCACUGCAUUGAAAACAGACAGGACUCUGUAGUGGAAAUCACUGAUCACUUCCAAAAACCAUCAUCUGUGUCCACAGUUCAUCACUGCAUCCACAAAUGAGGUUGAAACUGAACCAUGCAAAGAAAUAAACAGAUAUAAACAUGAUCCAGAAGCACCAGAGACUUCUCUGAGACCUGAGGAAUCAAAAUCGGACAUUCUUACUGGUAAUCAUGGUCAUUGCGUCCUCCACUCUAAAGAACAGAGGGACCAUCUGGCUUGUUAUCAGCUCACAGUCCAAAGCCAGCAUCCCUGAUGGUAUGGGGCUCAGAAGUGUCCAUGGCAUGGGAAGCUUCCACAUCUGUGAAGGAGCAACAUCUGCUGACAUCCAGACAAUGACCUUUUCAGGGAAGACCUUCAUAUUUCAGCAAGGCAGUCAGUUCAUUUACAUGACACUCGAGAAUACCGAAUUAUUGCCUUAUUCCGAUUAAGACCGAACAACUGAAGUGCACGUAAACACCUUAGUCCGACUAUAAUCGGAGUUUGAGAACUCUGAUUAAGACACCCAGAUAAUGCGAUUGGAAUUCGAUUUUCUCUACCAUGUAACCAGCGUAGACGGAGUAUGAUCGGACAAUGCAUGUGUGUACGCCACACCCUUGUAACCCCGGAACAAAAACACCAGAGAAGAGGAGUAGUGUGCAUCUCAUCUUCAGAAAAAGUAGCCCGUUCAUCAUGUACAACAAAAACGACACUGUACGAUGCUCCAUCUUCUUGCUUGGAAAUGCCCAGCAGCAGUUGUAGACACUUCUGACGUCUGGCAUGGACCUGCUGCUGUUGUUGACCGUUGUAUGGGGUCGGAUACGCGCCGCUGAAAAGACCCAUAUCACCCACAAGUUUUAGGGAGAAGGACACGUUCGCAUCAAUAAUUCGUGGACAAGGAGACAAGUCCAAUUUGGCGGAAAGAACGAAUUAUGAGCUUUGUCCGAUCAAGCUGUGCAUGUAAACGCACUGAAUGACCGACCACAUUCUGCUGGGAUUACAACAGCGUGGCUCUGUAGUAGAAAAGUCCUGCCUUAUAACUUUUUGAGCAUCAUGACACAAAAAAAAACAGGACAAAGGAGACCCUGGACCAUUAAGAACACGAGGCUUUUGUAUUUUAAUAAAUGUUAGAGUAGAUGAAUUUUCCCCAGUAUGUUAAGAACGAAAGAAAAGAUCGCUUUAGACUCUAGAUGGUGUUUCAGUGAAGGUUACAGGGACUUCAGGUCGAGGAAGGGAGUGCUGGGAAUCCUGAGGAAAGGGUGAGGAUGGGUGAUGCAGGGGGGGAGGACGGGUGAGGCCAGGCGUGCCUUCCAUUCCUGCCUGCUCGGGGUGAGGCUAUUCCUAGAGUGUGGUGGAUGGCAGUUGAUGUGGGUUUCCUCUGAGCUGCCUGGAAGAUGACUGGCCCUGACCACAUCCACAUUCACACACGCACACACGUACACACACCAGACACACAGUGACAACUGUACAGCAAACACACACAUGCAGAAACAUACACACAUUCACAUGCAUAAACACACACGUUGUAAGGAGAGGAAAGAGGAACUGAAUCAUUACGCUGCCUCAGCCUCUAAGCUGGGGGUGACCACUGUACAACUAUUUGUGUGUGUGUGUGUAUGUGUGUGUCUGCAUGUGUGUGUGUGUGUGUGUGUGUGCAAAGAUACGUUGCAUUUCUGCAGUAAAGAGACAUCAGCUCUUUGGUUGUGUGUCUGGGCUGUUUGUUGCUCAAGUAUGUGUGGGCAUGUGUGUGUGGGCGGGUGUGUAGGAUGUGUGAGCUGGGUGUGGAUGCAUUCCCUCAAUGUGUGUGUGUGUGUGUGUGUGUGUGUGUGUGUGUGUGUGUGUGUGUGUGUGUGUGUGUUUGCCUCCCUCCAUCUGUAAAGCUUAGGACUCAGUGUGUUCGGUUAUUCUCCAGAAAAAAUAAACCUGGAAAUCUUACAGUGUUCAUUAAAAUUGGCUUCCUGAAUUUUUCAAAAUCCAUAUUUUGCAUGCAAACACAUUCUGCACAAAGUCUUUGAUUCACACGCAACUGCAAACGUGACGUGCAAAGUCCUUUUGAAUCAAGACAUACAGCGUUUGCGUGAACAUAAUGAGUGACAAUUAGCUUAAAUUUCCCUGCAUGUGCUUCAUUUAGUAUUCGAGAUUGGGUUUUGGUUAUAUUUCAGUAUUUAUUUCCAUCUAUAAACCGGCAUAUGUAGAGAAGUCCUCCCUUUCUGUCCUGUAACUCACAGGCAUGUAUUUCAAAAGGCUCUGCUGGUUGGAUUCACUUGUGCAUAAACUCAAGCUGAUUGUUGCCUUCUUGAACAAAAUAGAAUAUUCAUCUUUGUGCUUUCAUCUUAUGCUCAAAAAACAGUUUUCUUGCUGAUGUUGUUGCAUAAACUUGACCAGAAAGCAUUUAGAUCCCCUUAUUUCUCUAUCCACCCUCACCUGCAUUUCUAUAGAAUCUAUGAAGGAGACUUCUCAUUUUCUAAUCACUGAUAAAUCAUCUGUAUUUCAUGUGGAAUUUAAAAAAAAAACAUAUUUUUGCAACAUAAUGGUAUUCAGAUUCACCAAAAUUAAAGCUUUAUAUCAAACCAUGUCUGAGUGGGGAUAGACUUGAGUUUGGUUUCUCAUGAGUUAUUUUUCAGUCUGUUUUAAACUCGGAUCACAAAGAGAAAAGAACGUUUUGAAUUUCCUCUGACCUCACCCUGCUAUCAUGUCGAGUCCCACUAAGCAAAGGCUUCAGUUUCGAUGGAAAAAUCAGAUGAUAAAGUGACUUCAGGUACAUCUGAGCUCUCUGGCAGCAUCACCAAAGCGUGGAAAAAAAGACAGAGAUAAGACAUGGAAGACGUUAUCAGCUUAUCUGUCGCCCUGUGAGCUUAUUCAGGCUCGCCAGUCUGGACCUGUCAAUAUCACAGUCCCUCUCGAGGUGCCGAUGACAGCUAUGACAAACAGCUGGGAAUCCUGAUUUAACCUGUAUCACGAUAACACGACAAGUUUCUGACCUCCCGUUUUCUUUCUUUAUGUUUUUCAGGUCGUCUUUUGUGCACCAGCUCUUCCACAAAUACCACCCGUGUGCUUCUAAAUCUACACCAAGCAGAGGUAAGAAGUCGUCCCUCGAUUUCUGCAGUUUUCUUUUCAUCUCUCUUCUCUGACUCCCACACCUCCACCCUCUUUGUGCAAACUGUAUUCCCUGCAGCAGAGAACAGAGCCCGAGGCAACAUCCCUUUACACCUCUUCAUAUCCCCCUUCGUUUAAAGCUUCGGCAGAGAGAGAGAAGGACUGAUGAUAACUCUUAAAGUUCACAGGUCAAAUCAGUCAAUACGCUGUCAGAGGAAAGAGGGAAAAAGCACAAGUCACACAACCUCUUCAAACCUUUUUCUCCUUUCGUUUUGUUGAUCCAAAGCUGCAUCAUGGAAGCAAACAGUGUUCCUCAGGGUUGUUAGAAAAGUAUUGAAAUUGACGCGAGUUUAAAAAAGUUCAGACAAGACAGAUGUUGAAGAAAAAUAUUUGUAUUGCAAAGCUCUUUCCACUUUUUUGAUGAGUGAAAAAGACAGAUCUUCAUUUGUGUUUCUUAUCUGCCUUUGUUAGGG